Non-coding RNA from Chiloscyllium plagiosum (whitespotted bambooshark), 1703 nucleotides. The record is from RefSeq and is a predicted model, not a curated record. Lineage: Eukaryota; Metazoa; Chordata; Chondrichthyes; Orectolobiformes; Hemiscylliidae.
UUGCAUGAUGAACAAUAGCUCCAAAUGCUUCAUGGUUUGAGAUAAGUAGUAAUAAUAAUUAAAAUUAAUUUCCCUGUAGAAUCCAGUGAUACAAAAUUAAUCAAAGCAAUCUUGAAAGUAGGAUAAGAUUCUUUCAUACUAUCAGGUACUUUUCUGAUUCAUGGUGAAAAGACUGGAUAGUAGAAGUAAUAAAAGUAAAAAUUAGCUCAAUGUUUUAAUCUCAGCUUUUCUUGAAUGAAGGAAGAUUAGAAUAAUGCUUACAGCUGGAUCAGAGCAGAGGUGCCUUUGAAUUUUCCUCUGUGCCUGCCACAUAAUACGGAUGCAAGUUGCCUAGAGGACGGCUAUUACCAUAACUGCAUCUGUCUUUGAUUUUCUCAGCUCCCUGACCCUUAAUAGAAUUGAAUAGACUCUGAGUGAAUGUUGACUGCUUGCCAGAUUUUGGUUGCACAUGUUCCAGUCAUUCUCCAGGACCAUGUCCAGUUGGUUAUUGCUUAUCUGUGAAUAAGGGAAAUGAAGACAUUUUUGAUUCCUUGACCAUUUUUGGCCAAUCACUUACAGCUGGAUAAAACCUUUUUGCAAUUCAAUGUUAGUUGGAUUAAAUACAUCUGGUUCAACAUCUACUAGAAAGUUUGCCUCAAGCAUGGAUUCUGACUGAGAUGUACCAAUUGGAGUACCAAUUGGAGAUUGAACCUGAGUUAAACCCCAUGCACAUGGCUCAGCCACUCACUGAAUAGUUUGCUGAAUCAUCUUAAGACUGAAGCUGCCUCAUUUUGGUUUGUCAGCUGUAAAGUCUGGUGCAACCCUUGUGUGGUCAUGCAAAGAUCCCUUUACAUUGGUAUUUGGUGUCAGCCUUGAUUCAAUAGCACCAUUUUCCUCUUCUAAUCUGAAGCCAUUUCAACAGUGAGUACAUCAUCUCAGGGAACAUUUCAAGGCUUCAUUCUCAGAGGUGGUAACAGAACUUUGAACUAAAAGACUGCUGUCUCAGUUGUAUGCUCAAGAUCCCUUGCAGUAUUUGAUGAAGCACAUAGGAGUCCCCUGGCCCCUUGCUAGAGGGUGUGUGCAACCAAUUGCUGAAACAUCUGUGAGUGAUCCCAAGAUUCAUUCUUGAAUUUGAAGAACAUUUAUUUGACACUUGAUUAUACAAGGCUGGGAAUUACUGUUUGAGAAAAUGUCUGCAAGACCUUUAUCACUGGAUGCGCCACAGAAGAAUUUUAGCGAAGACAAUGCUAAAACUCGUGGUCAGCAUAAUUGGAACAAAUCUGUUUCCUGCUGAAGAUACAAUUUUUUUCACAGAUAAAAGAAAAUGUUCAAAUUUCAUCAGGGGACAUAUGUAUGAACUCUUUGCCUGUCCCACUCUGUCCACCCAAGCUGUUGUGGUUCAUUAAGUAUGCGACAUGAGCUGCUGGUGUAACGUAUAUUGUGUUUCAACACGAAGAGGAAAACUCUAGUGGUAUGACAACAGGGAUGGACCAGAAGGUCCAGCAAGGUGUCUCAAACAAGCAAACAUAAUACAAAAAUCAUUAGGAGCAGCAAUGGUCCACACAGCCUCAGCCUGAUCUGCCAUUCGACGCUGAAUCAAAUUUCCCAGAACACACAACUUAACUGCACUCUGGCAGCAACUUUACAACACAGACAGAUAUCUGAUCAAGAGAUUCAUCAUUACUCCAUCAAGGGCAAUAAAGAGAUGGCCAAGAAAUGUUGAC